Molecule: ribosomal RNA, 253 nt
Filed under: uncultured bacterium
Lineage: Bacteria
Description: partial 16S ribosomal RNA
Rfam family: Bacterial small subunit ribosomal RNA
Source: RNAcentral
CACGUAGGGCGCAAGCGUUGUCCGGAAUUAUUGGGCGUAAAGAGCUCGUAGGCGGUCUGUUGCGUCCGCUGUGAAAACCCGGGGCUUAGCCCCUGGCUUGCAGUGGAUACGGACAGACUAGAGGUAGGUAGGGGAGAAUGGAAUUCCCGGUGUAGCGGUGAAAUGCGCAGAUAUCGGGAGGAACACCGGUGGCGAAGGCGGUUCUCUGGGCCUUACCUGACGCUGAGGAGCGAAAGCGUGGGGAGCGAACAGG